AACGAACGCUGGCGGCAUGCCUAACACAUGCAAGUCGAACGAGACCUUCGGGUCUAGUGGCGCACGGGUGCGUAACGCGUGGGAACCUGCCCUUAGGUUCGGAAUAACUCCCCGAAAGGGGUGCUAAUACCGGAUAAUGUCUUCGGACCAAAGAUUUAUCGCCUUUGGAUGGGCCCGCGUUGGAUUAGCUAGUUGGUAGGGUAAAAGCCUACCAAGACGACGAUCCAUAGCUGGUCUGAGAGGAUGAUCAGCCACACUGGGACUGAGACACGGCCCAGACUCCUACGGGAGGAAGCAGUGGGGAAUAUGGGAAAAUGGGCGAAAGCCUGAUCCAGCAAUGCCGCGUGAGUGAUGAAGGCCUUAGGGUUGUAAAGCUCUUUUACCCGGGAUGAUAAUGACAGUAACGGGAGAAUAAGCUCCGGCUAACUCCGUG
This 433-nucleotide ribosomal RNA is filed under the name uncultured bacterium. RNAcentral describes it as "partial 16S ribosomal RNA". It matches the Rfam family "Bacterial small subunit ribosomal RNA", at positions 29 to 507 of the family's 1533-position model. The record is from RNAcentral.